CUUAGGAACCUUACAGGUGCUGGUUGCCAAGCAAGGAGCAAACAAUGCUGAGACAACACCAAGGUAUGGCCCUUGGACUUUGGAGUCAGAAGUGACAUUUGGGUGACAUUGAGCCACAGCAGCAAGCAGAGGGAGGCCCUGUGCAAGCAGGUAUUAACCUAGUUCAGAGGCCAGUGCCUCUCUGGACAGGUUGUUCAAGCCCAUAGCUCCAAGGGGGCAGGCAGGACUAACAGCUCAUGCAGAGGCUGGAGGUGGUCAGCAGAGGGAGCUUGAGUCUACAGCAAAGAACUGCUUCCUUCGUUUUGACACGUUCUCCCCAGCCCAUCGUCUUUAGCAUACCUCAUUGCCAUGGAUAUUUGCAGAUCCAGCUGAUGGGCAGCUCAUUUGUUGUGAUGGAAGAAACCUUGAAGAACUCCCUGCUACCCACUUAUUUUCAAGGCAUUCAUAGCUAUCAUUCCCAAGAACAUCUGAAAACAACGGGAUGGCAUCACCCUCCAGCUCCCCCUUCCCUGGCUCUCUCGAGAAGCUCUGUGUCGUAUUGUCAGUGUUUUAUAUAUUUACACCAACAGAGGAGGCCUGGGAUGUGGGCUUUUUCGUUUAUAUGAGUCUCACCGCCACAGGGGGUAUUUAACUUUCUGCCCUGGUUGCUGUAAUUCUCUCUCCAGUGGAUAUACAGUUCAGAUCAG
This 686-nucleotide long non-coding RNA is filed under the name Anas platyrhynchos platyrhynchos (common mallard). Its description in RNAcentral is "lncRNA (ENSAPLG00000026873.1)". Lineage: Eukaryota; Metazoa; Chordata; Aves; Anseriformes; Anatidae. The record is from RNAcentral.